GAAUUAUUGGGCGUAAAGCGCGCGUAGGCGGUUUUUAAGUCUGAUGUGAAAGCCCACGGCUCAACCGUGGAGGGUCAUUGGAAACUGGAAAACUUGAGUGCAGAAGAGGAAAGUGGAAUUCCAUGUGUAGCGGUGAAAUGCGCAGAGAUAUGGAGGAACACCAGUGGCGAAGGCGACUUUCUGGUCUGUAACUGACGCUGAUGUGCGAAAGCGUGGGGAUCAAACAGGAUUAGAUACCCUGGUAGUCAAGGGCG
RNAcentral lists this ribosomal RNA (254 nucleotides) under uncultured Staphylococcus sp. Its description in RNAcentral is "partial 16S ribosomal RNA". It matches the Rfam family "Bacterial small subunit ribosomal RNA", at positions 548 to 802 of the family's 1533-position model. The record is from RNAcentral. Lineage: Bacteria; Bacillati; Bacillota; Bacilli; Caryophanales; Staphylococcaceae.